CUUGGAUGGUGCUACUCACCGCAAACCACAGUCCGUCAUGAAUUGCCGUGUGUUCCUCAGACACAAAGCAAACGGCCGCUUCCCUGCUCCUUGGAGACAUCUCGCCUCUAAAUCUUGAAACUGCCAAGCCCCAGCUGGCCAGACCCCCGGCCGAGU
This 156-nucleotide long non-coding RNA is filed under the name Aotus nancymaae (Ma's night monkey). RNAcentral's name for it is "lncRNA (ENSANAG00000039213.1)". Lineage: Eukaryota; Metazoa; Chordata; Mammalia; Primates; Aotidae. The record is from RNAcentral.